RNAcentral lists this ribosomal RNA (465 nucleotides) under Vreelandella stevensii. RNAcentral describes it as "partial 16S ribosomal RNA". It matches the Rfam family "Bacterial small subunit ribosomal RNA", at positions 338 to 795 of the family's 1533-position model. The record is from RNAcentral. Lineage: Bacteria; Pseudomonadati; Pseudomonadota; Gammaproteobacteria; Oceanospirillales; Halomonadaceae.
CCUACGGGUGGCAGCAGUGGGGAAUAUUGGACAAUGGGCGAAAGCCUGAUCCAGCCAUGCCGCGUGUGUGAAGAAGGCCUUCGGGUUGUAAAGCACUUUCAGUGGGGAAGAAAGCCUUGGGGCUAAUACCCUCGAGGAAGGACAUCACCCACAGAAGAAGCACCGGCUAACUCCGUGCCAGCAGCCGCGGUAAUACGGAGGGUGCGAGCGUUAAUCGGAAUUACUGGGCGUAAAGCGCGCGUAGGCGGUCUGAUAAGCCGGUUGUGAAAGCCCCGGGCUCAACCUGGGAACGGCAUCCGGAACUGUCAGGCUAGAGUGCAGGAGAGGAAGGUAGAAUUCCCGGUGUAGCGGUGAAAUGCGUAGAGAUCGGGAGGAAUACCAGUGGCGAAGGCGGCCUUCUGGACUGACACUGACGCUGAGGUGCGAAAGCGUGGGUAGCAAACAGGAUUAGAUACCCUUGCAGUC